ACGACCUCCUCCCCUCGCGCUCUGGUUUUCUUCCUCUCUUCGCGUCGGUGUUGAAAGCGCCUCGCCUAUCCCGUCUCGCCCUUCGUCGCCUCGGCGCGUUUGCGUUUUCCAUUUCUUCACUCUCUUCCUCUCCUCGUUUCUUCUCCGGUUUGAUUUGUUCCGCUGCUGUUGCGCUUCCGUGCUCUCGCAGAUUCCCUUGGGGGCGUUUCGCUUUCGUGCGGCGCGAGGAGAGCGAGAGCCUGAGUUUGGUUGGCGGGGUUGUUCGGGAUUGGAUCCGAUUGGGUGUUGGGAGUUGCGUCCUAUGGCGUCGUGUGGCGAGGAGAUGGAGGCAGGUCAGUCUUCUGUCAGAUCCGGCGGUUCAUUGGUUUUGUCACUUGGACAUGGAUUCGGUGGUUUCAGGCUCAACUGUCUCUCGGUGUGAUACAGUCAGUUGCCAUCCUAGCCUACACACAAGGUGGAUUUGGCAUCAGAUACAGAUAGUGCGCAAGGUGGAUUCGAGACCUUCGGUCCAUUCGAGAUUUUAACGGCUGAUCUCGCUUGUGGCCUUUUUGGGUGUUUGUCCUCCUCUUACUUUAGAUGCAGAUGCAGAAGGAAGGGUCCCUGCUGGUUAUGGAGAGAUUAGUUGAAGGGUGGAGGUUUGCUUAUGGUUCCUUCCUCGUUUUCUAUUUGGUAUAUGGCUGUUUUGAUGUCAUCAUGGUGGUGGUGUGAAGAUCGCCACCGGACUAACUAGAAGCUUGAUUGUCCUUCAUUGGAAAAAUGUUGUUAGCUGGAUCUGCAGAGGCAAGAGAGGUGAUGUUUUGGGCGUUGACUGGACUGGAGUUGGUAGCAUCGGGAGAAGAUCGUUUGGAUAUAUCUAACUAUCACUCUUCUAUUGAUUCAUCAUCAUACUCUUAAAUUUCUGUCCGCUGCUAUUCUUAUUUUUUUAUAUUGGGGCUGGUGGUUUUCUCCAGCAACUGGAACUGUCCAGGGUUCCCUGUGUUUGUUCACUAACCAUCCUCUCUCCCCAGUCAUUGUUCUUCUAAAAUUGACUUCCUUCAUAGGCUCCCUUUGAUACUUCGUUAGUAAAUCUGCAGUUUUGGGAGACAUCACUAUAGAGUUUGUCCUCCUAUAUGCAAAAGGAAUGGUCCUUGGUGGUUAUGUGAGAGCAGUUGAAUUCAAGGGUGGAGGUUUGCUUAUGUUCGUUAUUUUUGAUUUGUUAUAUGGCUAUUCUGAUGUCAACCAUGGUGGUGUGAAGAUUGCCACCGGACUAAUUAGAAGCUUGAUUAUCCUUAAUUCGUAAAUUGCUGUUAGCUGGAUCUGCAGAGGCAACCGAGGGUGAUGUUUUGGAGGUAGAUUGGAGAUUUGAUUGAUGAUUGGACUCAUUAGUUCAUAGCAUUUGGAGAGACGGAGAACAUCGUUUGGAUAUAUCUACCUUUCGCUCUUUCAUUGGCGCGUUUAAAUUUCUUGUUUCUUAUAUUUGUGCUGGUGCUUUUCUUCAGCAACUGGAUUAUAUGGAUGGAUUGGAGCCUGAGUUUGAUUUCGCUCCUGCAUGAGCAAUAAGAAGUUCUGAACUGUUCAGGGUUCCGUUCAAUAACAAUCCUCUCUUGUCAAUGUUCUUUGAAAAUUGAAUUUUCCCGUAGGCUACCAUUAAUGCUUCUAUAGUAAAUCUGACAGUUCCGGGAGACAUCGCUACAGAGAUAGGACUUACAGCUGACAUUAUUGGCGAUUGACCAGGCUUUAUCCUAAACCCACAUUUAAUGAAGUGUUCUUGCUUUUUAAGUGUUCUCAUCUCACAAUCAAAUAGAUAGUUACAGAGGAUGGUCUCGCUGAUUGCAGAUCUCUAGGUGAUAACUUGCACGGGCACAAAAGGAACCAGUCUCUGCGUCUAUUCAAACAUACAACCUUCAACUCUCAUUGUGUUUGUUCAGUUUCUUCACCUCAAAGUAGAUAAUGAUCGGGGUCAUUAUUGCAGGUCUGAUAUUUUUUGCAUGGGCUUGUCACAUGGAAUAUGUGUUAGGAGUACUUCUAACCUUAUCAAAUUUACAAAAUUGUAUAUGAAUCAUGAUACUUCUAUUGAGUUAAAAAUCGGGUAUUUCUAAUUUAAUCUGCAGUGGUAGAAGGUACUGAGCAUGUUUGGGACUUGGGAGAUUCAAGCAGAGAUGGGUAGAAGCACAACUUUCAUUUAAUAAUCAACUUAUUUCUGCUUUAUCAUGACCGAAGCUUUAAUUCUUGUGCUACUGGCAUUUCUGUGUUUCGCAGAUCAUUUUAGCUCAAGUAAUUGGCAGUCCAACAAUCAUAAUGUUUGGUUUGGGAUUUCUAUCUGUGGAUGCUUUGUCUGGCUUUAUCAAUGUUUUCGUGCUCGCUUUUACAUGUGGUUGCAGGAUGAGUUUGGCAAUUGGAAAUCCCUGUUGCAGGAUGAGUCUAGAUCAUUCCGGUUAUUUUAGUUUCGUCACUUGUUUUCAGUGAUUUCAGAUCUGAAUGGUGGCUAACAUUCUGGCUCUCCAAGGAUAUUUUGCUGGUAGUAAUAGUAAAAGCAAGGUUUGAGAUCCUGGAUUUAUUAAGCACUGUAUAUAGCUCAACUUGGCUGUGGUAUGUGUUCGUGUCCUUUAGAGAUGCAGGAGGACAUUGGAGUUGGAUUUUCCUCAAUCGGAGAUAACAAAUUGGGAAAAAAUUGUGACUAGACCUCGCACUUCUCAACUUCUGUCUAUUUGGUUUGCAUAGCUUUCCAUUCGUUCUGAUCUGUAGUCCCUUAUUAUGUUUCCAGCCCACUUAAACUAUAAGGAUGGCAGGGGGAUGCCUAGGAGUUAUUUUGUGCUGCAACAGUCUAAAUAACAAGGGGGCUUCUAAUUCUUCGUUUCUAUCAAGUCCUAUCCAGUUACUUCCUUGAACCAGUAACUCUUUGAAGUUUGUGCAGAUGCGACAAACAGAAGCUGAGAUAGAAUUUUCAACCAUUGGUGCCGUCUCCAAAGCCCAUCCCUGCUCCACUGGCCAUUUGAUUCGCCUUGGAUUUGAAGGUUUUUUAAGCCUAUCCCUGAACCAAAAUAGACAGAAAUCAUGGAUGAGCUCUUUGGUAAAUAUAGGUUUUGCUUACAAUUUUGAAGUUCAAUCUGAUCGUGAUCAUAAAAUGUGCCUAUCUUUCGAAUUCUGCUACCUUCACUUUUGCUAACCAGUGAGUUUCUGGAUAGAGUGCAUUAAUGUCAAGCUUGAUUACUUCGACUUACCUGCUGUUCAGAUGCUUUGCACUAGUUAGUAACCUGCCCAGAGUUUGCGCUAACUACUAUUCUGACUAUUGACUGCACAUCACUUUCCAGUUAACUUGAUUGAUUUGGAUUGGUGGUGGUUUGCUUGGUUUCCAGUUAUUUGAGAGCGUUAAUGCUUGGAUCUUAGGAGUGAUGGGGGCACAGCCACACCUUAUAAUAUUUUUCAAUUAACCAGAGUUUACGCCUAAUACUCUUGCUCAUACCGGUCAUUUAUUUUGGAUCCACUUAUCUGAUAUAAUAAGUUGAUGGAUGUUUGGUUGGAUUCUCGCAGUUGGAGCUAAAGUGUGGAUGGAUGGUUAGCCAUUCUGAGUUCUAGACGUUUCCACCUAUGGAGUCUUCCUUCCAGUGAUAAAUAAACCUUUGCACUAACUUUAUUUUGAAGCUGUCCUUAACCUACAUGCCUCAUCCAAUGGUGCAGGUUCACUAUUUGCCUCUUGCUUGACAUCCAUACCUUCAUUGAGCAAAAUUAUUCAGAUUCUAAGAGGAUAUUUUACCUGAGCAUAUGUGGUCACCAUAUUCUUUAUGGUCCCAGAUUUCCAAUUUCUCCGUAGGACCCCUACUAAUGUUUAAUCUAGUUCCUGGUUUGCUUCUGGUUUUACUUAGUUUGGUAUAACCCCUACUCGCUCAAUAUAUGUCUUUCAUUAUCAAGUUCGUCUUAUUGCACAGUUCCUUUUAGGUUACUUACUAAUUAUACUCUUGUUUGAGCUCUAAUAUCUGAAAUCAAAGAGAGAUUGAUCUUAUGUGACACUGUUAUUUAAUUUUGUUGGUUAUCAUGAGAAUGAUUGCCUGGGACUAACCGAACACCUCUUUUACUGCAUCCUUUAUGCCUUCAUCUCUAUUUUGUGCAGACUCAAGUCUGGUGUUUGUGACAUUGGCCCUCCCUUUCUUUAACUGUGUUCUGCAAUUUCCCCACUUUGGACUUCCAUCUGGUGCAUCUUAUCUGUUGUGGAUCAAAACCAAGAAAGUAUGUUGCUCUGUGUUCCUGCCAAAAGAAAAUCUGUCUGAACAAACUUGUUUGGCUGAACGAUUGUUGCCUCCUGAUUAUGCCAGCCUAUGUGCCCGUCUCGGUGAUGCAAUGCAAGCUUCUUUGUACUUUGGGAUGGAACUGGAGUCUUCUGUUUGCUUGCUGUUUGGUCAUUUCUGUUGUGGACUAGCAGUACUGCUUAUAAACAUGGAUUUUCAAUUUCAAAAGUUCGGGUUGAAGUUUGAGUCAAUCAGAUUAUUCAGGGUGUUGCAUUGAUAUUCAGUGUUUAAAGUGGAAGAUCUUUAGGAUUUGACUGUAGCAGUAAAAACUCAGUGGAAGUGGGUUUCUUGACCUUGAGUGAACUUGAAUGGUUGGUUCCAUUUGUGUUAUCUGUACAGUUUGGUGUUUGGUCAACUUGAAUGCAAGCUAGGAUGGGAUUGUUUCUGUCUGUGCAACUCUGUAUUGUCGCCAACUUAAUAUAUGUUCUAUAGUGGUUGAGUAGUUAGGUUAACUUCACACUAGGAUUUGCAUUUGGUUUUGGUUAGGUGGAACCAAACUGCGUGCCUUGCAAAAUGGUCCAGGCAACAUAGGCAAUGGCAAUAGUAUAUUAAAUAUUAAACUCUGAAAUGUACCAUGUCCAUGUUGCAUAAUCUGCACUUGUUGGAGCUGAGAAAUGAGGAUGCUAGAACGAAGAAUAUCAGUUUAUCAAACUAUUAACCAAUGAUUCUAAACCAUAUUUUUUUAUACUUCGAUUGCUGGUUAUCAAUUAAUAUUUGGACAUUGGGAGGAAACUUGGUACUUUAGACUCGAGCUGGCACCUGUGUUUCCCUAUCAGUUCUCGUGAAGCUUCACUGUGGUCAGAUUUUUGUGAUAUAUAUGUUGGAUAUCUUAACUGUACAAAAGACUACAUGAGUUUACACUGGCUGGUUUUUAGCUACGCCCUUCCUGAAAUUUCUAUGGUGUUGCCCUUCCCAUGGCAUGGUUUGAUUGGAGUCUGUUCAUGGAAUGAUUUUUGUUGGAGCUGGUUAUUGUGGCAAUUGAGCAUCUUCUGCCUAGUCCAAAUUAGCUGAAGGACUAGUUUUAUUGGACAAGAUUAACUGCAUCUUCUGCCUAGGCCAAGGUAGCUAAAUUAGCUGGAGCACUAGUUUUAUUGGACAAAUUAAGUGGAAGCAUGUGAUUGUUUUACGAUUGGCACACAAUGAUGCAAUAUCCCAGAUACCUGCUCACAACUUCACAUAUAUUUGAACUAGGUUUACUUAUUAUUGAUUAUUGAUUGUUCUAUCAAAGUUAUAGCCUGCAAAAGAAUCCCCUGAAUGUUUUAUUGGUUUUUCAUUAGCAUCUUCCUUGCUGCUUUUUUGUUUUGCACAAAUAACUUGUCAUAACACAUGUUCUCGAUGCUCAUUCAUAAGCUAUGUCUUGUUUAUAUGCUAAAAGAAUAGCUACUUUGUCUGGCGCACAAACUGGUUAGGAGAUUUUUUUAAAAAAUAAAUGUCUGAACAUGAUUAUUUUUUUGUUGGGUAUUAUUUGUUUUUCCUGAUUUGUUGUUUGUUUGUUUGCGGUUUAACACUGCCUUUGCCGGUCCCAAGCCCGGAUGCGAAAAUGUGGAGGGAACUGCAGGACGCUCAGUUGCAUGAUUGGCAUUAGGCUACUGGGAAGAAAUGUGGUUUGGUCAAACAGCUGGAUGCUGAAAGCUCAAAGAGGAGCAUAACCCUACCAUUGCAAUCUGCUGGCUAACUGUUCUGUAGCUGCCGCUGGUUCUGUUCAUUUCAGGUUGUUCAGACUUGCAGAUGAGGGAGCAGGAUAACAGGCAACUAGCAAAAGUGAACCAGUUGUUAGGUUCAGACUUGCAGAUGAGGGAGCAGGAUAACAGACAACUAGCAAAAGUGAACCAGUUGUUAGGACGUUCAUGUCUCCUUCCGUGGCUGGCAAUACUGGUGCUGAACAACUUCUUGCUGGAUAAGCUCGACCAAGGUUCAAUGCUCAGGGUGAGUGCACGUUCGAUGGGAACAUUGGCCUAUAUCCAUUUGUUUUUACAGAGCCUGCAGAAACAAGCAAAUAAAGAAAAAGGAAAGAAAAGUGUCUCCUACUUAAUUGAAAGGCAGAGCUCCUGCCAUUGCGUUCAAAAAAAACAGAGCCUGCAGAAAGAAGUGCUAAUAGGCCGCGUGGUACGAUGAUAACAAAGGCAAUGAUAUCUGUAACUAGGGAUGUCAUCAGACGUUAUGUAAUCGACAAGUUGUUGCCUCACAUCAAAGCAAAGUGCCCAGCUGAGGAUAGGCAUAGCACAAUUUGGAUACUAGACAAUUGUAGAACAAACAUUGCUGUUGAUGAUCCUGAGCUGCACAAGAAGAUGGAUGGGAAUUCGGUUGA
Long non-coding RNA from Sorghum bicolor (sorghum), 6570 nucleotides. RefSeq lists it as uncharacterized. The record is from RefSeq and is a predicted model, not a curated record. NCBI's taxonomy places the organism in Eukaryota, Viridiplantae, Streptophyta, Magnoliopsida, Poales, Poaceae. The transcript has 2 exons.